Molecule: ribosomal RNA, 376 nt
Filed under: uncultured bacterium
Lineage: Bacteria
Description: bacterial SSU rRNA
Rfam family: Bacterial small subunit ribosomal RNA
Source: RNAcentral
UAAUACGUAGGUGGCAAGCGUUAUCCGGAAUUAUUGGGCGUAAAGCGCGCGCAGGCGGUUUCUUAAGUCUGAUGUGAAAGCCCACGGCUCAACCGUGGAGGGUCAUUGGAAACUGGGGAACUUGAGUGCAGAAGAGAAAAGCGGAAUUCCACGUGUAGCGGUGAAAUGCGUAGAGAUGUGGAGGAACACCAGUGGCGAAGGCGGCUUUUUGGUCUGUAACUGGCGCUGAGGCGCGAAAGCGUGGGGAGCAAACAGGAUUAGAUACCCUGGUAGUCCACGCCGUAAACGAUGAGUGCUAAGUGUUAGAGGGUUUCCGCCCUUUAGUGCUGCAGCUAACGCAUUAAGCACUCCGCCUGGGGAGUACGGUCGCAAGACU